UGGGGAAUAUUGCACAAUGGGCGAAAGCCUGAUGCAGCGACGCCGCGUGAGGGAUGACGGCCUUCGGGUUGUAAACCUCUUUCAGUAGGGACGAAGCGCAAGUGACGGUACCUGCAGAAGAAGCACCGGCUAACUACGUGCCAGCAGCCGCGGUAAUACGUAGGGUGCGAGCGUUGUCCGGAAUUACUGGGCGUAAAGAGCUCGUAGGCGUUUUGUCACGUCGUCUGUGAAAUCCUAGGGCUUAACCCUGGACGUGCAGGCGAUACGGGCUGACUUGAGUACUACAGGGGAGACUGGAAUUUCUGGUGUAGCGGUGGAAUGCACAGAUAUCAGGAAGAACACCGAUGGCGAAGGCAGGUCUCUGGGUAGUAACUGACGCUGAGGAGCGAAAGCAUGGGUAGCGAAAAGG
RNAcentral lists this ribosomal RNA (409 nucleotides) under bacterium. RNAcentral's name for it is "partial 16S ribosomal RNA". It matches the Rfam family "Bacterial small subunit ribosomal RNA", at positions 355 to 776 of the family's 1533-position model. The record is from RNAcentral.